This 1068-nucleotide long non-coding RNA is filed under the name Anas platyrhynchos platyrhynchos (common mallard). Its description in RNAcentral is "lncRNA (ENSAPLG00000024018.1)". The record is from RNAcentral. Lineage: Eukaryota; Metazoa; Chordata; Aves; Anseriformes; Anatidae.
UGACACCACAGCUGCCAACACUCAGCGAGGUGUGGAUGGAUGCUGCCUCCUGCCGCAGCUGCUCCAUGGCCAGCCAGGGCUGCUGGUGGGAAGCCCGUGCAGAGCAGGGCAGGAGGGCUGGGCCGGGGCUGCCGGCCCCCAGCACCGCUCAGCCUUCAGGGCUGAGCAGCGCUUGUGCUUGGCACAGGGAAGCAGAGGUGCAGAAGCACUUAUCCACAGCCCUGAAAGAGGCUGCAGGCACAGUGAGCGUGGAGCUGGUGCUUGGCCUUGUGCGGCAACCUCUUGUGCUGGUCUCGUUUUCAGCAAAACCCCUCUGGGCUGGGAGGCAGCUGCCUGUGGUGCAGAGGGUGGGAGCCACAGCUGGCUGGGACCCUGGGGCAGCAUGACGCUGCUGCACAGGAGACAGAGAGGGGCAACUGGGAAGGGAACUACCCCCCUGCUUCUGCUGUCUGGAAGUUUUCCUCGGCUUAAAGUAACACCAGACCAUCACCAGAUCAUGUCUCUGUGCAGUAGUGGAGUGCUCCCCUCCCUGCAAGCAUGGCAAAAAAAAAAAAAAAAAAAAGUGAUGACGAUCAGGCUAUGCAUCAUUUAGAUACAACAAAUGCUUUUAUAAAUGUCAAUAACAGCAUAAUUGAAGUGUCCAGCCUGGCCUUGCCACUUCUGCUUGCCUUACUGGAGGCAGAGGCCGCUUGUCCAGCAGGGGAGCAGCUCCAGAGGGGCCGCAGCUGCUGCCUGGCAGGGCUCAGGGGCUACAGCUGCUGGGCAGCUCACAAAGAGAAGGGGCCAGGGCCGGGUGCUGCUGAGGGUUGUGCCCUGCCCGUUCUGGAGGCUAACGGUGCAGGGGCUUGUUCUCCAGGGACCCUUCUACACACCUCAGACCCUUCGGCAGGAAAUCUUUGCUGUGCAGAGGCUGCUGCGUGCUGCUGCUGCAAUAAAGGGGAGACACGGCUCCAGCACCAGCAGAGCAACAGAAGCAGGUUUUCCCUUCCAGCACUGAGGUUUUUGGAGGCUCCUUCUCGUCUGGAUGAGCUUAUCCCCCUUCCAGGAGAAGCUCCUCUAGCAUACUAA